Papaver somniferum (opium poppy) is the source of this 1291-nucleotide long non-coding RNA. RefSeq lists it as uncharacterized. The record is from RefSeq and is a predicted model, not a curated record. The transcript has 2 exons. NCBI's taxonomy places the organism in Eukaryota, Viridiplantae, Streptophyta, Magnoliopsida, Ranunculales, Papaveraceae.
CUUUUCUCUAUUUAUUCUUCGCGAUGAAGUUUCGAAGAUUUAAUUGAUGGUGGUGGCGAUUGUUCUUAGGGUGUUUCGAUAAAAUUUAAUUGAUGGUGGUGGUGAUUUUUCUAAGGGUGGUUCGAUUUUAUCAUUAACCGGAAAAAAAAUCAAAUGAAAUCAGAGGAAGGAAAACAAAACCUUGCAUUUGGAUCGAUCUCUCUUCAAUCAUCAACCCAUUGGUGAGAAAAUUUGUAUUCAUUUUGAUCUCUCAUUUCAACAUAAGUGGGGAAUCUAUUUUGCAAUUAAGUGUUUUUUUUUAGUAUUCUGCUGUUAAUUUUGGUUUAAUUGGGUGUGGGAAAUGCAGGGCGUUUUUUAGAGUUGAUUAGUUAGAAAAUUAAAAUGAUUAGUUCCAUCCCAUUUUCAUCGAGAAGAAACUAAUUGGAUUGUGAAGAAUAUUGAAUUAGUAUAGGUUAAUGGAGGGUCCAAUGGGGUUUAAUUUUAGGUCGUUAGUAGAGAUUGUAGAUGAAGAGGGAAUUUGGAAAAUGACAAAUAAUGACGAAGACUAAGAAUUUGGGGUAAGGGGGUUGAAACUUGAAAGAUGAUGAAUUCUCCUUCAUGCGUUUUUAGGAAUUGGAAUUGUAUUGGGAAAUCUCCACAGUUUUCUGUUAAUUAAGUUUUCACGCCAUAAUAAUUGCAUAUGAUUGAAAAUUUGAAAUCGUUUGCAAAUUCAUAUACUGCUGGAAAAGCAUCUGUAGACAAGAUAGUAGUCCUCUAUGUUUGCAGGCCAGUAUUUUAAAUAUUGUUGAUGCAUUGAAUUUUCACAAAAUUGUGUGUUUUCCUUAUCAGUUAGUUAUGAUAGUUUGUUUCAGUUCUAACCAUAUAUGAGAAAACUAGACAUUGAGCCUUUUCAGGUGUGCACUUCAGAUUCUAGAGGUGGUGGUACUAACUUGAAAUUCUAGGUAAUCGUGUGAAAUCAGCCAGGUGAGGGUCUUGCGUCUCCAGUACAGUACUCACAAGGCUUUGGUUUCAAGUGUAUCUGGUUUCUGCAGUGUGAUACGUCGCGGAAGUUCUAAAACUCAUUGAUAAUGGAUUUCAAGGUCAGCAGAAUUCGAACAAGUUUUCUGUGUUUAAUCCUUUUUUUAUUUUUGUAAAAUGGAAGAUCUACAUUGGAUUGAUUGAGGAUAGCAAUGUCUUUUAAAUCCUACAUAGCCUCGCAAUAUAUGCGAGGGAGCAUUUUAUUCGUGUAAAUAUAAAGGAUCAUGCAACGUAAGUUCUGUUUUGUUUCAGUUGUAUGUUGUUAGUUUAAAAA